AUUGAACGCUGGCGGAAUGCUUUACACAUGCAAGUCGAACGGCAGCACGGACUUCGGUCUGGUGGCGAGUGGCGAACGGGUGAGUAAUGUAUCGGAACGUGCCCAGUCGUGGGGGAUAACGUAGUGAAAAUUACGCUAAUACCGCAUACGAUCUAUGGAUGAAAGCGGGGGAUCGCAAGACCUCGCGCGAUUGGAGCGGCCGAUAUCAGAUUAGGUAGUUGGGGAGGUAAAGGCCCACCAAGCCAACGAUCUGUAGCUGGUCUGAGAGGACGACCAGCCACACUGGAACUGGGACACGGUCCAAGCUCCUACGGGAGGCAGCAGUGGGGAAUUUUGGACAAUGGGCGAAAGCCUGAUCCAGCCAUUCCGCGUGCAGGAUGAAGGCCCUCGGGUUGUAAACUGCUUUUGUACAGAACGAAAAGGUUUCUACUAAUACUAGGAGCUCAUGACGGUACUGUAAGAAUAAGCACCGGCUAACUACGUGCCAGCCGCCGCAGUAA
This 500-nucleotide ribosomal RNA is filed under the name uncultured bacterium. RNAcentral describes it as "partial 16S ribosomal RNA". It matches the Rfam family "Bacterial small subunit ribosomal RNA", at positions 30 to 523 of the family's 1533-position model. The record is from RNAcentral.